UCCAUCAUAUACGCCUGGCUCUCCUAGCUACAGCCCAACAAGUCCGUCGUACUCCCCAACAAGUCCAUCGUACUCUCCAACCAGUCCGUCAUACUCCCCCACAUCUCCAAGCUACAGUCCCACAUCGCCAAGCUACAGUCCCACAUCACCAAGUUAUAGUCCCACUUCUCCGAGCUACAGUCCCACAUCGCCAGUUUAUAGUCCGACCUCUCCAGCAUACAGCCCAACAUCUCCUGCAUACAGCCCGACAUCUCCAUCAUACAGCCCGACAUCGCCAUCAUACAGCCCUACUUCACCUUCAUACAGCCCUACCUCUCCAUCUUACAGCCCUACGUCUCCAUCAUACAGCCCUACGUCUCCUUCAUACAGCCCUACGUCUCCAUCAUACAGCCCGACAUCGCCCUCGUACAGCCCGACAUCGCCUGCAUACAGCCCGACAUCGCCUGGAUACAGCCCAACAUCGCCGAGCUACAGCCCUACUUCGCCAAACUACAGUCCAACUUCACCGAGCUACAAUCCUUCUUCGGCCAAGUACAGCCCUUCACAUGCUUAUUCUCCAAGCAGCCCAAGGAUGAUGAGCCCAUACAGUCAGACUUCUCCAAACUACAGGUACUGACCGUGACCUGGCACUCCUCUGGUAUUCUGUUCAUUGCUCGCUAUACUUAUUUUGCUUACAUCUGUUUCCCCAGCCCAACAUCACCGACUUACUCGCCCACCUCGCCGUCGUAUGCACAACCAAGUCCGUCAUACAGCCCGACAAGGUGAGCCUGUCUUAAUUCAUCAUCAUUCAGAAGGAACACCUCGCUGUCGAUGAUGUGACACAUUUAGAUCUUCUGUUCUAACACACUUGCAUGACUUGUGCAGCCCGCACACAACCUCUGGUGGACCUAGCCCGGAUUAUAGCCCAACCUCUCCAAACUACAGGUAAAUGGAUCAGGCUUUAUGUAAUCUGCCCACGAUGAAAGUGCAUUUGGCGUUUAUGACAAUCUCAAUUUCUACUGUUCAGCCCCAGCGCUAGCUAUUCCCCCACUGCACCGGGCUACUCCCCUUCGUCCACUGGACCGCAAACUACUGACAAGGACGACGACGAGAAUGCGCCUUGAAGUCCCUGACCUGAUGGAGCAUGCUGCGCUAAUGAGGAACUGCGCUGCACUACCUUUUUUGUUCUGUGUUUUUUAUGGUUAUGGAACUGCAGAGCCCUGCCUUGUCUGCCUGAGCAUCGGGAGUUAUUAUGUACUCAUUGUGUGCUAAAAUAGCAUGAUUAGUCCCAUAGGAACCGAACUUUGCCAGCUCGUGAGCUGCUCCUAGUCCUGUGACGCUACAACGCCGCUUAGCGGCGUCCAUAGCAGCUGUUUGAAAUAAACAAGUUGCUGAUCUCGGUCCUAUUGUUAUGCUAAAUGCUGUUGUUCAAAGCAAGUCUUUUCAUUGCAGCUAGGGUGCUCCUUUUUCUGUCGUUCAAUCAAUGCAAUGGUUUGGAAAGGACCUGUUUGAUUCGGAUAAAUAUUAGAAAAGAGUUCUCGCAAUCGCAAGGUCUCAAUUUUCGUUGCGGGUCAUAAUCUCGCCUCUUAGGUUGAUCCCGCUCGUUUUCGUAUCCUUUGAUGUUACUCCCUCCGUAUAAUAAUACGGGCACGAGCCAGUCUAUUUAUGUUCCUCAACCUUUGUUCUAGUCCUGUGUGUAUCAAAAUGGCCCAGCCCAGAGUUGUAGGCUAGUGCAAAUAAUCUCCGGAACGAAAUUACGCGUGAACGGUUGCGGGCGCCACAUCAAGGAGGCGAGUGUAUGGCCGACGAUGAGCCUCGUAACCGGCCUGUGGCGCAUGCCUGUAGGUCCUGUCCUCUGUUGCCAGCAACUUAUCCAUGGCCAAGUGCUUUCGUUCUACUCAUCCUAUUCCUACCUGGUUCCUUUCCCACGUCGUCGGCUUCUCCUUCUACACCCACAUACUCCUUCCUUAAACCCACUGCUCCGAAUUUUCGCUUCCUGAUCUGGUUAAUUCCAUACUUGUAGCUUGAAUAUUUCAACUUUUGCCUCGAAGGUUUUGAACAUAGUUUUCACAAUUUUAAAAUAGCAAAAUGUUACUGUAACUAUUACUUACUCCAUUUCUUUUUGUAACAUGUUCCGUCUUUGUUCUAAAAGUCAAACUUCUAAAAGUCGACCAAGUUUAUAGAAGAACUACCAACAUCCAUAAGUGUAAUCAGGAUUCAUGCAGUUGGAAAAACUAAUCAAAUUAGAUUUCUUGACGUGUUUAUCCAUUGUUUGCGCUAGAUUACCUUGACACGUUUAGUUUAGCCAUUGUUAUCGUGCUCCCCGUCAUGUCUUUGAAAGUUUUGCCAAACUUUGCAGAAAACUGGAAAAGACGGUAGACGGAUCGCAGCCACAGACUGAAAUAUUUGUAGGAGACUGAUAUUGUGUUCUCUUCUCAACAAAGUCAAACACUCCUCAGAUGCACACUAAAGUUGCAAUACUCCUGUUCACCAAGGGUGGCAGAGAAGGUGUAUAGCUACAAUAAACCAAAAGAGACUUUGGGAACAACAUGCAUUUGCGUAGUAUACGUGCAUAUGCUUCUCACAUGCCCGGGAAAGUGAGAUCCAGCUUUAGCACCACCACUAACCAGAAGAUUUCCAGGUAGUGUGUGUGCAUAUCACUUGACCAACCGCCAAUCAGCUGCUAGCCACAAGCUCUGUCCAACCUUAAGAACCUGCCCCCAGCUCUCACACGUGUCAGCAACCCACGGGACCGAACUCCACCCCGUGCGAACGUGGCAUGACAAGUCAGACAUGGCGCUGACUUGGCACCCACACCGGCCAGUGCGGUAUUGACAAGUCGGCACUGAAGAAGCAAUUGGGGGAUGAUGUGCAAUUAAUUAGUUUAUCAUCAUCUCAGAGAGAAGAGGAGAAAGAAAAAAAGGAAAAGAAAUGUUAAUCAUCAUUGUCAUUAUCAAGGAUUAGUGGAUCAGGGGGUCAUGUUGUCUGGGAUCUAUCUUUGGGAUGUUAGCUUGUGGUGCAGGGAACGAUGGAUGUAUAUGCUCUUGCUUGCCCCUGUUGUGAUAUGUCGGCCUUGAUCCGCGUCUCUGAUUGGCUGCUAAUUUUAGGAGCAACAUUUCUCCUCUCCUUCUCUCUGCUCCACUACUGACUACUUGAUCUUGUCAUUCAACUCACAGGCAUCUUUGGAGAAAAUGACAGCUUUUUUCGCAGUUGCAUAUGUUUUGUUUGAUCGAUUGGCAGGAUGUCUUGAGUUGAUAUGUUCACUUGUCAGGUGUGUUAAUGCCUAUUGCUUAGCGUAAUUGCAAUAAAUUGUUUCGUGGCAUGGUUAAAUAAAUUUCAUAUAAGACAUUUCACGUGUCUGGUUCCCUCUGCACCGCAUGAUUUUCACCGAAAUCCUGCGAAUUUUUUGUAAUUUUUGGAGGAUUUUUGUUAAAUUCUGUCCCAUAUCCAGUAUAUGGGAUUUUUGUAAUUUGUGCUAAGUUCUGUCCCGAUUCCAGGAAAGCUUGUUUUGAAUGAUUUACUAAAACUCUGGCCUGGUCUAGGCUCAACAAGCAAAAACAAGCAUACCACAUCUCACUACUCAAUAAUCGCAAAAUUAUGGAUGCGUGCAUCAAUACAGAGGCCACGGGAGAGGUCCUUCUUUUUAGAAAAAAGGAAUCACAGAAUAAGAAAACAUAUAUUUAGCUAGGUCUUCAAUUCUUGAAGUCCAAUCCUUGUAUUAAUUAAUUAUCUGAGUUUCAGCGCCCGGAGAAGACUUUAGCUGGUGAGGAAUUGCAAGCAAUUUUAGCAAGCAAAUCUGUUCUAUUCAAUCUAGCAGCAUGGGCAUUGUUGUUGUUGUAAUUAUAUUCUCUUUAUUUGUUGCAAAAAAGGCUAGCCAUUCAUCUUCAACCCACUGGGGAGCCCACAUAAUCUCAUAAGCACAUUACAUUAUUUUCAUGCUUUGACCCCAUCCCUAUCAGCAUGUCUGUAUUAUAAUUCCUUGAAGAAAAGAACCUAGUAGUAACAUGCAUUUGUAACACUUCACUAUCUUUGAAAGUAAUAAAACAUUUCUGGUUUGACUUAUCCCCAUCGCUUAGUCACUCCAUUAUUGGGAUCAUGUCAUGUGCAUCUGCACCUCAACAUCACCACUCUCAGACUACAAUUUUGAGAUUAAAAUCUAUACAGAAGCUGGAUUCAGAUUUGUAAACUGAAUUGACUAUGCAUUAUAAAAUUAAAUAAAUCGAGUUUCUUUUUCUUAAAAACGGUAAUAUGAAAUAUGCUUGAGAAUAAAUUCAAAGAUCACAAGUUUCUUUUUGGGCUCCACCAUGUAAUCUGGUACUCCCUCCGAUCCAUAAAAAUGGUCGCCCACUCAGUACUAAGUUAGUACCUUUUUAUGGAAUCGGAGGGAGUAUCACAUUGUAUAUUUACAUGAUCAAACAAAUUAAAGAAAUAGAAUUAAUUUAUUGUCAUGUGCAUUGUCCAGUAUUGUUGACCGACAUGAUCAUCUAGAAAGCUGAACCAUUGGUACACAAGCAAACAAAUGAAGAUGGGGAAAAAGGUAUAGACAAUACUGUAUUAGAUAACGGCAAUUACUGCUUGAUAAGAGAGUUCCCUCCAAGAUUGUCUGUAACACAGCAUAUCAUAAGAAUGACUGAAUAGACACCAUUGUUAAUAAAUGCCAUCAGUGAAAGGCUUCUUCAUCACCGAGCAUUUCCAAGAUGAUUCAUUGUCCUAUGUUAGCUCUUCUGUGAUAUAUCAUUUCAAGGUGAAAAGGAGUCAAAUUUGCAAUGGUUUGGUUCUGGAAUAUAUCCAAGUUCUGAGUGCAGCUAUGUGACCUGUCGUUUUGCAGUUUAGCUAUGAAAGACUUUUGAUUUGGCAAAAGUGUUUUGCUUUGGCAGCUACUGCAAGUAGCAAAUACAACAUGAAUAUCCAACGGAGAAUUCCAUUCCAAGUCUAUAACCAGUCGCGAGGCAAAUACAUGCCGUGUCGCUUUGAGAUUUGUGCAAUUUAGUUUUCAGAAGUGUACCGACACACCGUGGCAACCAGUUCUUCCGAGAAAGGCAAAAUAGCUAUCAGGAGCCCAUACUCCUGGUAUGAAAAGUAAAAUCAUAAAAGAAAUGAAAAUGUAAAAAAAAAAUCAUGCGUAUAAGUGCUCAUGUCUUCUAAGACCCUCCAAAUUUUCAGGAAACAAAGCAUUUUUGUGUCCUAAACAAGGAAAACAAAAUUUAGUAGUACUAAAACUAAGCAAAAUUUUGAUCACAAACUUUUGUCAUUUUUACACAGGGUGCAAAAUUUAUCCUUUUACACGGAAUUUCACAAGUCGACAUAAGACAUGCACAUUUUUACGAGUGAAUUCCUUUCAGAACUUUUGACAUUAAAAAGACAUACAUCUGGGAGCACGCACUCUGGGGGGCACCUGUGAAUUUCCAUGUUCUUAUCCUGUGGAAUUGCACAUUAGCCGACAGUGUUAAACCUUAAGAGACCUUCAGAUGUUUCAUGCUUCUGGUAGUGGUUAGAACAAAUUGUAUCAUGGAUAGAAUGCAGCCAUACAGUAGUCUUUUAUUGACACUGGCAAAAAAGGGUUGCAACCAAUCCUCGUAGGAACAACAGCAGACAAAGUUUGACAUUAUUGUGGGACUAGCCCAGACAUGAAAUCUGGGCAACAGAAAUGCUCCACUCUCCCCUCGCAAAAAAAGAAAGAAAUGCACCACUUUCUUUCCCUCUCUCUCUCUCCCUCUCUCUCUCUCAUCCAUUAUACAUCCAAAAUGUGAGAGACAACAGUGUCCUACCACUGAAGUCUCUUCUGCUGUUCCGCAACUGUCCCUUGAUAGAAAACUCUACUUGUUUUUGGUGAUCUGUAGCACACUAGGGUAGGAUCUGGUUGAUCACCUUGUACAACACAACAAUAUGCGAAUGGUACUUUAAAUAUGGUGGUUGCAACGCAGCUACACUAGGGUAGGAAGUGGUUUUAGUACGUCCAACCUCCCCAGUGCCCGACAUCGGUACCGUCCAUCUGCAUUGGGAUUCUAACGUUUUUUCUGCUUUUAGUUCUUUCUAAAAUGUUGUGAGAAAGCGUAAAGUAUUCUUUCUCUUACAUGCUUAUGACACCAUCUGUCCAAAUUCUGGAUUCUUGCCUCAUCGAGCAUGUUGUUUUGUUCGAGCCACAUGAAAAAUUAAAACCAAUGUUUUUCUUGUCUGGGCCAUGGGCCACUAGCCUAGGGCUUUGAAUCCCGUGGCACAUGGGUGGCCUAUUUAGGAAAUAUGGUGGGGUUGGAACCGAACAGGGCAUGAAAAAAAAAGACCAAAGCAGUAGUCCAUGCAUGGUGCGUGUGCGUGUCCGAUGACGCAGCCCGCAAUACUUUUAGGAAGAAAAACAACCGAUUCACGUGUCAACAAGGGAAUCCAAAUGCUGCGCAUGUGAGCUUGACCAGCACCCAGGCCCACAUCGACAAGGCUUGAGGACCACCCCAGUCAUCUUCUCCUUUUUGCAUGCAUCAAGAGAUAAUUUUGGUUUCAAAUCCCUUCAUUCUUGUAACCAAUGGACAAAAAUAUCCAACAUUUGCUAGCAGUUGCUCAAGAUUUUUUUUUGCUAGCGUUGCUUUCUAAAGAAAACAAAGUAACCAUGACCUUUUGUCCAGUCAAUUGAAUAUUCUUAUUACCCAAUGAACAACAACCUUCACAUGCU
This 6643-nucleotide long non-coding RNA is filed under the name Brachypodium distachyon (stiff brome). Its description in RNAcentral is "long non-coding RNA (BDIS_LNC003090)". The record is from RNAcentral. Lineage: Eukaryota; Viridiplantae; Streptophyta; Magnoliopsida; Poales; Poaceae.